GGAUUCAUAGCUCAGUUGGUUAGAGCAAUCGGCUCAUAACCGAUUGGUCGCAGGUUCGAGUCCUGCUGAAUCCACCA
Molecule: transfer RNA, 77 nt
Filed under: Campylobacter helveticus
Lineage: Bacteria; Pseudomonadati; Campylobacterota; Epsilonproteobacteria; Campylobacterales; Campylobacteraceae
Description: tRNA-Ile
Rfam family: tRNA
About the family: Transfer RNA (tRNA) molecules are approximately 80 nucleotides in length.
Source: RNAcentral